GACGAACGCUGGCGGCGUGCCUAAUACAUGCAAGUCGAACGCUUCUUUCCUCCCGAGUGCUUGCACUCAAUUGGAAAGAGGAGUGGCGGACGGGUGAGUAACACGUGGGUAACCUACCCAUCAGAGGGGGAUAACACUUGGAAACAGGUGCUAAUACCGCAUAACAGUUUAUGCCGCAUGGCAUAAGAGUGAAAGGCGCUUUCGGGUGUCGUUGAUGGAUGGACCCGCGGUGCAUUAGCUAGUUGGUGAGGUAACGGCUCACCAAGGCCACGAUGCAUAGCCGCCCUGAGAGGGUGAUCGGCCACACUGGGACUGAGACACGGCCCAGACUCCUACGGGAGGCAGCAGUAGGGAAUCUUUGGCAAUGGACGAAAGUCUGACCGAGCAACGCCGCGUGAGUGAAGAAGGUUUUCGGAUCGUAAAACUCUGUUGUUAGAGAAGAACAAGGACGUUAGUAACUGAACGUCCCCUGACGGUAUCUAACCAGAAAGCCACGGCUAACUACGUG
Molecule: ribosomal RNA, 508 nt
Filed under: uncultured bacterium
Lineage: Bacteria
Description: partial 16S ribosomal RNA
Rfam family: Bacterial small subunit ribosomal RNA
Source: RNAcentral